GCGAAAGUAGUUCAGGGGUAGAACAUCACCUUGCCAAGGUGAGGGUCGCGGGUUCAAAUCCCGUCUUUCGCUCCA
Molecule: transfer RNA, 75 nt
Filed under: Haemophilus influenzae
Lineage: Bacteria; Pseudomonadati; Pseudomonadota; Gammaproteobacteria; Pasteurellales; Pasteurellaceae
Also listed under: 26 other names
Description: tRNA-Gly
Rfam family: tRNA
About the family: Transfer RNA (tRNA) molecules are approximately 80 nucleotides in length. Their secondary structure includes four short double-helical elements and three loops (D, anti-codon, and T loops).
Source: RNAcentral